RNAcentral lists this long non-coding RNA (8375 nucleotides) under Sus scrofa (pig). Its description in RNAcentral is "lncRNA (ENSSSCG00000058314.1)". Lineage: Eukaryota; Metazoa; Chordata; Mammalia; Artiodactyla; Suidae. The record is from RNAcentral.
CUGUCCAUAAUUUAUGAGUCAUUGAGGACAGCCAAUAAGAGCUUGAAAAUGUCCUGCAUUUUGUUUCUUAACAUAGUCAUCCAAAUUCUCAGCUGGGGCCCCCGUAACCGAAGCCAGAGUAACUAGAGAAAAGCACCCAGAUGUAUCUGAUGUAAGUUGGAUGUGACUCGGGAGCCUGAAGAAGGGGUGACCCCUGAGUUUUUCGGCCGGGCUGGACCAUGGGGGACGGUCCUGGAGAAAAAGGGAAGAGAGGAACAGACGAGAGCCACGCGGGGUGACCUGGGGGGACUUGGCGAGACCUGUUCUGCCCUCUCCUCCUCUCUUCCCUCCACCCUUGGCGAUAAGGCUGCUCCUUCCCCCCCAGUGUGGGAGGGGGUCACCUCUCACGUGACAGUUGCACAGGUUUUGGGGGAGGUUCAGAAAGUGCUUCCUGAAUGUGCUGUUUCUCAAAGUCCUUCAGCUUAAAAUAUUCAGCAUGCCAAGGCAUCAAAUUUGGGGGCAGCGUGUCCUGAACCCCUUCGAUAAACCACAUGCAAAAGUUCCCCUUCUGAGGCACUUUUUUUUGGGGGGGGGGGCCAUGCCCACAGCCUGUGGUUCCCAAGCCAGGGAUGGAGCACAAGGCACAGCAGUGACAUUGUGGGGUCCUCAGCCACGAGGCCACCAGGGAACUCCGCCCUUCUGCACGUGAAUUUUACAAACGCAUCCCUCGAUGGCUGGCACCUGAAGACAUUCAACUACAAAUUAUCCUUGAGUGUAAUUUGGUUGUUACUCUAAGUCUCACCCAGUCUUGGCCUCGGGGAGAGGGUAACUCUAGGGUCUAAGGACCUAGCGUUCUAGGUGCCCUCCUUGUAAGACCUGGCACGUUUGUCCUGAGUUCCCUCAGUCACACGGGUAGCCCUGCGCUCCCAGGAUAAGUUAAGUCCUUCCGUAACAGUCCUUUCCCAGACACGAAGCGCAAAGACACCCUGGCCGUCACCCAGCAUCAGAGCCGUGCUGUGAGGUAUCCUUGGGCGGGGUGCAGACUCCCUUUGCAGGGCUCGGGUGGGUUGACGUCUCAAGGACAAGCCCACUGAAGGGCCAUUUUCCAUCUCAUUGCAAUCGAGAGUGGGGUUGUUGGGGCGGGUCCGUCACGCUGAACUAGCGAUGGGGCCUCAGGGCUGCCUUGCGCCAAAGCUCAGCGGUGCCUCCGAGACCUUGAGGGCGGUUUUUGUUCCAGCGUGAAAUUAUUUCCAAGAGCCCAAUUCCAGAGUCCCCUCAUUUCCACGGCAGCGGUGUUACGUGUUUUUGCCAUUGUCUCAAAAGACUACGUUUAUUAGUCAAAGUAUUAGCAUCCAAAAGCACCAGCUCCAUCGCGCCUGUCCCAUUCCUGCAAGGGUUGCAUCUAAUUGGUCUCCUUCUGUCCUUGGAUGACCCCAAACGGGCUGCUUGGUAAACAGGCUCCAGGGGACCGGACUCCGAGUGUCAUGGUGUUAAUUAGCACCGUGGCGUCUGCCUUGGGGUUUGGGUGUGACCGAGACCCUCGCCUUGACCGGAGCUCUCGUCUCAGCCAGGCCCUGAUUUGUGUUGCCUCCGCUGUUUCCUUCUUAGCAUCAGUCGUUUGAGCCAGCAUCUCGUCUCUCGGUAUCUGACCGCCCUGGAUCUCCGUCCCCCGGCCCCGCAGGCGAUGUCCCGUCACCCUGGCUGACCUUCAGCAAAGACACCUGUGAGCUGGGUUCAGCCAGGCUCCCCCCGUUCCCUGAUGUUUCCUGUUAGUCAUUCUCCAGCCCCUGACUCCCACCCAGCUCCCACUUGUUGUACCUGGAACUGAGCCCAGUCUUUCCUACUGCAGGUUCCUACACUGACCUCAGUGGUGCUUCGUUUAUUUUAUUCAUUUUUAUUGAAGUAUUUGAAGUUAAUUUACAAUGUUCUGUUAAUUUCUGCUGCACAGCAAAGCGAUUCAGUUAUAAUAGGUAUACACUUUUUCUUUCCUGUAUUUUUUGGCUGCCCUGUGGCAUAUGGAGUUCUCAGGCCAGGGGUCCGAUCCGAGCCACAGUAGUGACCUAUGCCGCAGCUGCAGCAACACCAGAUCUGUAACGCACUAUGCGGGGCCAGGGAUCGAACCUGUGUCCCAGUGCUGCAGAGACACUGCCAAUCCCAUUGCAUCGCAGCAGGAACUCCAAUAUGCAUUCUUUUUAAAUAUUCUUUAUGGGUUUUUUUUGUUUUGUUUUGUUUUUGUCUUUUUGCCUUUUCUAGGCCCGCUCCCGCGGCAUAUGGAGGUUCGCAGGCUAGGGGUCGGUUGAAUUGGAGCUGUAGCCACUGGCCUACGCCACAGCCACAGCAAUGCCAGAUCCGAGCCGCAUCUGCAACCUACCCCACAGCUCACAGCAACGCCAGAUGGUUAACUCACUGAGCGAGGCCAGGGAUCGAACCCGCAAACCUCAUGGUUCCUAGUCGGAUUCGUGAACCGCUGCGCCACAGCGGGAAGUCCUCCAUUACGUUUUAUCGGCAGGAUACUGAAUAUAUCUCCCUGUGCUCUAUACUAGGACCUAUUGCUUAUCCAUUCUGUGUGUCAUAGCUUACACCUGCUAACCCCCAACUCCCUCUCCGUCCUCCCCUGCCCCCCUCCCCCUUGACAACCACAAGCCUAUUUUCUGUAUCCGUGAGUUCGUUUCUCUUCUGGAGAUACGUUCAUUUGUGUCAUAUUUUAGAGUCUACGUAUAAGUGAUAGCAUAUGGUAUUUAUCUUUCCCUUUCGGACGUACGUUGCUUAGCAUAAUAAUCCCUAGGUCCGCCCAUGUUGCUGUAAAUGGCAUUAUUUCAUAAUUUUUUUAUAGCUGAGUAGUCUUCCAUUGUAUGUAUGCACCAUGUCUUCUUAAUCCAUUCAUCUGUUCGUGGACAUGUAGGUUGUUGCCAUGUCUUGGCUGUUGGGAAUCGGGCUGCUGUGAACAUGGGGUUCGUGUAGCUUCUUGAAUAGUUGUUUCCAGGUAUAUGCCCAGGAGAUUGGUGGAUCACAUGGUAGCUCUAUUUUUAGUGUUCUGAGGCGCUUCCAUACUAUUUUCCAAGUGGCUGCACCAAUUUACAUUGCCUCCAACAGUGCAGGAAGGCUCCCUUUUCUCCACACCCUCUCCAGCCUGUGUUUGUUGUAGACUUAUUAACGAGGGCCAUUUGGACUGCCGUGAGGUGGUCCCUCAUUGUAGUUUGGAUUUGCAUUUCUCUAAUAAUUAGUGAGGUUGAGCAUCUGGUCAUGUGCCCAUUGGCCAUCCUUAUGUCUUUGGGUAAAUGUCUAUUUAGAUCUUCCACCCAUUUUUUGGUUGGGUUGUUUGUUUUGUUGUGGUUGAGCUAUAUGAACUGUUUCUAUAUUUUGGGAAUGAAGCCCUUAUGGGUUGCAUCAUUUGCAAAUAUUUUCUCCCAUUCUGUAGGGUGACCUUUUGCUUUGUUUAUGGCUUCCUUUGCUGUACAGAAACCUUAAGUUUGAUUAGGUCCCAUUUGUGCAUUUUUGUUUGUAGUUCUAUUACCUUGGGAGACUGAGCUAAGACAGCAUCGCUGUGAUUUAUAUCAGAGAAUGUUUUGCCUUUGUUCUCUUCUAGGAUUUUUAUGGUAUCAUGGGUUACGUUUCAUGGUGUGAGGGUGUGUUCUAACUUCGUUGGUUUACAUGUGACUGGCCAACUUUCCCAACACCAUUUUCCAGAGACUGUCUUUUUCUCUUUGUAUGUUUUUGCCCUCUUGGUUGUAGAUUAAUUGACCAUAGAUGUGUGGGUUUAUUUCUGGACUCUCUACUCUUUCAUUGAUCCGCAUGUCUGUUUUUGUGCCAAUACCAUGCUGUUUUGAUAACUGUAGCUUUGUAGUACUGUCUGAAUUCUGGGAGAGAUAUGCCUCCUGCGUUGUUCUUUUUCUUCAGGAUUGCUGUGGCAAUUCUAGGUCUUUUGUGAUUCCAUGUGCAUUGUAGGAUCAUUCUAAUUUUGUGAAGAAUGUCAUGGGUCAUUUGAUAGGGAUUGCAUUAAAUCUGUACAUUGCUUUGAGUAGUAUGUCCGUUUUCAGUACAAGAGCAUGGGGUACCUUUCUGUUUCUUUGAAUUCUUUUUAAUUGCCUUUAUUUAAUUGCCAAGUUUUCCACCUCCUUGUUCAGAUUUAUUCCUAGGUAUUUAAUUUUGGGGGGAUGCAAUUUUAAAAGGUACUGUUUUUUCAUAUUCCCCAUUUCUAUUUUUAAAUGUUUUAAUUAUUUUUUUAGGGCCACACCCGCAGCAUACGGAAUUUCCUGGGCUAAGGGUCGAAUCAGAGCUGCAGCUGCCAGCCUAUGCCACAGCCACAGCAAUGCCAGAUCCAAGCCAUGUCUGCAACCUACACUACAGCUCACAGCAACACUGGAUCUUUAACCCACUGAGCAGGGCCAGGGGUUCAACCCACAUCCAUGAGCGGGUUUGUUAUGUCUAAGCUACAGCAAGAACUCCCAUAUUCCUUUUUCAUGUAAGUAUACAGAAAUGCAAUUAGAUUUUUGAAUGUUAAUCUUAUAUCCUGCUACCUUGCUGAACUCAUUUAUUCAAGUAGUUUUUGUGUGUAGUCCUUAGCGUUUUCUAUGUAUAAUAUGUCAUCUGCAUAUAGUGACAGUUUUACCUCUUCCCUUCCAAUUUGGAUACCUUUUGUUUCUUUUUCUUGUCUGAGUGCUGUGGCUAGCACGUCCAAUCCUAUGCUGAAUAGAAGAGGUGAGCGUGGGCAUUCUUGUCUUGUUCUUUGACUUGAGGUCUUGGGGCUUCCAGGGAGAGCAGCCCUUUUUGGUCUUGAACCUGAUUAUGAGAGAAGCCAGCACGGGAGUCCUGUGCCCACAGGGUGUGGACUCAGACCCAAGGUCAUGGACUUGCCAAACAGGAGUCCGUAGGUUCAGAGGGGAUGGUGGUGCUGCCGGAAGGGCCGCUCCAGGCUUCCCACAUGCUUGAUGGCGUGUGAAGCUUCUAGAAUUGGACACAUCCACCCCACUGUCUGGAGGGCUCGGGGGCCAGGGUGUGUGCAGCUCGAUUCCUGAAUGACAGUGGAUAUCAGGCCAGCUGGACGUAUGGCAAAACCUCGGCACGAAACCUCCCACCUUCGCAGGUCUCAGUCCCGUGGAAUCCACGGCCACCAGCUGCCUGGCAAAGUGGGCCCAGGAAAUGUCCUGGCCUUGCCUAGCAGCAGGCUGCAAAGAUUCCACUGACAAGCAGCACGGCUCUGGUACACGGUGGGCGCUGCCACCUGUGUGGUGACUCUAGGGUCCAUCUUGGACAGUCCACCCACAUGGUUCUGCAAUGACACCUGCGACCAGGUGGGCAGGAGGUGGUGCAGGAGCUGUUUUGUUAGCUGAUGGCCAGUGUCUGGUUGAACUUAUUUCAGCCCCUUUCUCAACCUCUUUUUCCAUCCCCUUCGUGAAGUUUUUUUUGUUUUUUGUUUUUUUGCAAAUGAACAGCAGUUACUGUAUCACAAGGAGGAACCGCAACAUUUCGGCAGGGCUUCUGCGGCUGUGUCAGCAAAUCCGCCCCCCUUAGAAACCCACGUGGAUGCCCCCAUGUGCCAAUGCACUGGCUGUAAAGCCCCUGACAGCUCAGCUGUCCACUAAUGAAGAACUGUAAGAUAGUUCAUUUCCCGCCGCUGCCAAGAAUCCCCUGGUUUUCCAAAUUUGCCCUGCUGCAAACAGAACAGAUGUUUGUAUGUCUGGAGAUUUAAGUCCUGGACUGAGAGUGGUGGUCCCAGAAAUGCUGGCAGUUAACUGGGUUUGUGCUUAUUUCAUUCCAGGCAGGACCUAAGCUUCCAGGAUUCCAGGGGCACCCGUGGUGGCACAGGAAGUCUCAGUCAUUCUCAUCCCGCACAUGACCCAGCAGGGACCGUAAUUGAAUCUGAACACGGGGCAGCAACAUCAGGUGAGUCAGACUGUGUCUGGUGUCUUCCUCAGCUGCUGUUGUGUCGCCCGCCUGGCCGCUGACCUGGGCCAUCACCCUGAUGACGCUGGUCCACAGUGAGCCGCACAGAGCGGGGUCCCACACUCUUGAGAGAGGGUUCUCAUGACACGUGGGGCAUGCAGAUAAAUCCCAUGACCCAAAGAGGGCUUGAGUCCUUUCAACACGUGCGUCCGCUGCUGCAGCUCUGAGGAUAAAUCCAGAAGCCCUGGGAAGCAGGAUGGGGCCUGGAGUCUGAGGCUGACUUUGUUUUCCUAGCAAAUCAUGUGGAAUUUUUUUUUCUUCAAUAUGUGGACUCCUCAGAGCUUGGGGAGAGAUUCCAGGCAAACACAACCAUUCAGAAGCUUCUUCAGGUUCUACGGAUCGAAUCUGAGGGUUUAGACUCUUAUCAAUCAAUUGGUCCUUUUGAGGUUUUCGCCUUUGCCUGCAAAAGCUGGAAUCCACUAUGGAAAAUCUACAAAUUCCCCCACUUGUCUAAGUUCCUCCUCUGCCAGAGGGUGUUUCAUCUGCAAAGGUGGCCAACUCCUAGAGGCCAGCAUUCUGUGGUCUUCCCUGGCAGCUUCCCUGAGUAUUUGACCUCAGACUGGCGAUCCUGCAGUGUGUCUAGUGAGGUCUGGGUCUCUGCCGGGCGGGGGAGGAAAUGUAACAAACUGGAGCAUCAAUUUCGUGUGACUGUUUAGUUUCCAAGGCUGCCAGUAAAUCAUCUACAUAUUGAAUAAUUUCGGAUUCUCCCACAGGGCAGAUUUUCCUAAGCUGUGCUGUCAAAGUCUAGACAAAACACUGGGAGUCCCGAAAAAUGUUGGGAACUGUUCGCUAUAAAUGCUGAACUCCUGCAUAGGUAGAAAGCCAAUGAAAAUGUGGACCCAUGAGUUAGAGGGACAGAAAAGAAAAAAAAAAGGAAAAAGCAGAACGCAGGUUGACUGCAGAGAACAAGUUUGCAGGUGACAGAAUUGACGUCAGAAAGAGCUGCAGAAUUAAAGGGAUGAGGCAGCAGAGAGCAGAACAGUGAGCCCCGUGACCUCUCUGAGACCUGCUACGGAUCUGCACAGUGGCCAAACUUCUCUCCAAAAUGUUGACAGGGCGUUGGGAGUAUGACAGCAUGAGUGUCUUAUUAAAAAUUGUCCCUGUUUCUCUGAAUUUUUUAAAUAACUGGUUUGAUUUCCUCGAAUUGGGCCCUUGGCAAAGCAUAGGGUUUACACAUGGCCUUGGGUUCCCACCCCCGACUCCCUGGGAGCAGUUUUUAUUGGUCCUUUAUCUUCGGUUAAACCAGCAUCAUUAUUCCUGGGGGCCCAAGAGGUGCAUGGACCUGCCUCGGCCAGGACUCUUUUCCAGCAUGGGUGCCACCACCCCACCCACUGCUCUCUUCUGUCCCAGGCACCGGGUGACCAGGUCAGGCUCUGUGACAUUCUCACCCAUCCAGACUAGGGCAGCAGGGGGGGCUCUCCCCACGGAUUUGUACUAGAAACCUGUAAAGAAAGCAGGACUGUCUUUCCUCUGUCAGAGGACCUGACUGCGUGGGGAACUCUGACAAAGACAGACUGUUGAAAAGAUUCUAUUGUUGUGGAUGGAGUUGUUUUAACGUGUUAAUUAGGUCAAUGUUGAUAGUGUUGCCAAGUCUGUAUCUCAACUGAUUUUGAACCUACUGGCUUAUCAGAUACUGAGAGAGGAAGGCUGAACCGCUAGCUCUCAGGUGGACCUGUCUCUGCCUCCAUGCUUCCUGAAUUUUGAAGUUCUGCUCUCUAGGUGCAUCCAUUAUAGAAAUGUUCAGUCGUCUUCUGAAUGCAGCGUGAUAGCGUUUUUAUCUGUAACUCUGGUUAUCGUCCUUUUGAAUCCCCUUUGUCUGACAUUAAUAGCUCCUCUAGGAGUUCCCUGGUGGCCUAGUUGAUAAGGAUCCAGUGUUGUUGGUGCUGUGGAUCAGGUCACUGCUGUGGCACAGGUUCGAUCCCUGGCCCAGGGACUUCCACAUGCCAUGGGCAUAGCCAAAAAAUAAAAAUAAAAAAAGCUACUCCAGCUGUGUUUGAUUCAGUCGUUGCGUGGAAUAUCUUUCAUCAUUCCUGGACUUUUAAGUAUCUCUGUCUUUAUACUGAAAGUGAUUUCUUAGGGGCAGCAUAUGUUUUGCUUUUUUCACACGUUCUCAUAGUAUCUGCCUUGUGUUUGCAGCAUUUAGGUCAUUUACGUUUAAAAUAAUUGCAAUAGGAUGUGUCUUUGUGUGAUUAUUUUUCUUUAUGGUUUCUGUGGUUAGGGUGUGGUGAGCGUCUUGCAUCUGUUCAUUCCCAUCAGUUUGAAAAAUUUCAGGACAUUACUCUUCAAAGUUUUCUGCUCCAGGAGUUCCUGCUGUGGUGCAGUGGGUUAAGGAUUUGACUGCAGUGGCUCAGUUCUCUGCAUGGGCAUGAGUUUGAUGAUUGAUCCCUGGCCUGGAGCAGUGGGCUAAAGGUCUGGCAUGGCUGCAGCUGAGAUGUGGGUCACAGCUCUGGCUC